Molecule: ribosomal RNA, 145 nt
Filed under: Bacillus cereus
Lineage: Bacteria; Bacillati; Bacillota; Bacilli; Caryophanales; Bacillaceae
Also listed under: 4 other names
Description: partial 23S ribosomal RNA
Rfam family: Bacterial large subunit ribosomal RNA
Source: RNAcentral
CUAAGCAUGAAGCCCCCCUCAAGAUGAGAUUUCCCAUAGCGUAAGCUAGUAAGAUCCCUGAAAGAUGAUCAGGUUGAUAGGUUCGAGGUGGAAGCAUGGUGACAUGUGGAGCUGACGAAUACUAAUAGAUCGAGGACUUAACCAU